GAUGAACGCUGGCGGCGUGCCUAAUACAUGCAAGUCGAGCGAACGGACGAGAAGCUUGCUUUUCUGAUGUUAGCGGCGGACGGGUGAGUAACACGUGGAUAACCUACCUAUAAGACUGGGAUAACUUCGGGAAACCGGAGCUAAUACCGGAUAAUAUUUUGAACCGCAUGGUUCAAAAGUGAAAGACGGUCUUGCUGUCACUUAUAGAUGGAUCCGCGCUGCAUUGGCUAGUUGGUAAGGUAACGGCUUACCAAGGCAACGAUGCAUAGCCGACCUGAGAGGGUGAUCGGCCACACUGGAACUGAGACACGGUCCAGACUCCUACGGGAGGCAGCAGUAGGGAAUCUUCCGCAAUGGGCGAAAGCCUGACGGAGCAACGCCGCGUGAGUGAUGAAGGUCUUCGGAUCGUAAAACUCUGUUAUUAGGGAAGAACAUAUGUGUAAAUAACUGUGCACAUCUUGACGGUACCUAAUCAGAAAGCCACGGCUAACUACGUG
Molecule: ribosomal RNA, 497 nt
Filed under: uncultured bacterium
Lineage: Bacteria
Description: partial 16S ribosomal RNA
Rfam family: Bacterial small subunit ribosomal RNA
Source: RNAcentral